RNAcentral lists this long non-coding RNA (570 nucleotides) under Olea europaea subsp. europaea. Lineage: Eukaryota; Viridiplantae; Streptophyta; Magnoliopsida; Lamiales; Oleaceae. The record is from RNAcentral.
AGUGGUUGUGUUGUAAUCGAAUCCCCAAAAGUCACAUUCACACAUUUUUUUAGGUCACAAAUUAACCAAUGGUCACAACACUCAAACAAUGAUCACACUCUUCCUUCCCACUCGACUACCAUCUCCGUCGCCAUCACCACUGCCACCGCCACCUCUACAGUCACCACCAUCACCACCACACCAAUAUCAACUCACCAUCACCGCCAGCAGUGCCACUAUUUCACCACCACCACACCUUCGUAGUUGCCAGCCAACAAUUCUAAAACCACCACCACACCUAUAUCAACCACAAACCACCAUCACAACAACCACACAAACCACCACACACCACAAUAAUCGCACAAAAAUCACCAUAGCAACCAUCAACCACACAAGCCACCAUAUCCAUCGGAGAAAUCAAACUCAGAAAUUAAAAAAAGAGAGAGAUAGAGAGAAAAGAAAAUAACAGAUCUACUGACGGGCAGCCGCCAUCACCAAGCACGAAGGAGCAUCGUUGGAGUGGGUUUGCGUCACCAAGCACCAGAUCAUCAGAUCGUCGGAGUGGGUGUGCGUUUAGAGUCGUCGGAGUGG